AUACGGAGGGUGCAAGCGUUGUUCGGAAUCACUGGGCGUAAAGGGCGCGCAGGCGGUUUUACAAGUCAGAUGUGAAAGCCCACGGCUCAACCGUGGAAGUGCAUUUGAAACUGUAAGACUUGAGUAUCAGAGGGGAAGGUGGAAUUCCCGGUGUAGAGGUGAAAUUCGUAGAUAUCGGGAGGAAUACCGGUGGCGAAGGCGACUUUCUAGCUGAAUACUGACGCUGAGGCGCGAAAGCGUGGGGAGCAAACAGGAUUAGAAACCCUAGUAGUCC
This 274-nucleotide ribosomal RNA is filed under the name uncultured bacterium. RNAcentral's name for it is "partial 16S ribosomal RNA". It matches the Rfam family "Bacterial small subunit ribosomal RNA", at positions 523 to 796 of the family's 1533-position model. The record is from RNAcentral.